Molecule: ribosomal RNA, 497 nt
Filed under: uncultured bacterium
Lineage: Bacteria
Description: partial 16S ribosomal RNA
Rfam family: Bacterial small subunit ribosomal RNA
Source: RNAcentral
GAUGAACGCUGGCGGCGUGCCUAAUACAUGCAAGUCGAGCGAACGGACGAGAAUCUUGCUUCUCUGAUGUUAGCGGCGGACGGGUGAGUAACACGUGGAUAACCUACCUAUAAGACUGGGAUAACUUCGGGAAACCGGAUCUAAUACCGGAUGAUCUUUUGAACCGCAUGGUUCAACAGUGAAAUACGGUCUUGCUGUCUCUUAUUGAUGGAUCCGCGCUGCUUUAGCUAGUUGGUAAGGUAACGGCUUACCAAGGCUACGAUGCAUAGCCGACCUGAGAGGGUGAUCGGCCACACUGGAACUGAGACACGGUCCAGACUCCUACGGGAGGCAGCAGUAGGGAAUCUUCCGCAAUGGGCGAAAGCCUGACGGAGCAACGCCGCGUGAGUGAUGAAGGUCUUCGGAUCGUAAAACUCUGUUAUUAGGGAAGAACAGAUGUGUAAGUAACUGUGCAGAUCUUGACGGUACCUAAUCAGAAAGCCACGGCUAACUACGUG